RNAcentral lists this ribosomal RNA (460 nucleotides) under uncultured bacterium. RNAcentral's name for it is "partial 16S ribosomal RNA". It matches the Rfam family "Bacterial small subunit ribosomal RNA", at positions 338 to 795 of the family's 1533-position model. The record is from RNAcentral.
CCUACGGGAGGCUGCAGUGAGGAAUAUUGGUCAAUGGACGAGAGUCUGAACCAGCCAAGUAGCGUGAAGGAUGACUGCCCUAUGGGUUGUAAACUUCUUUUAUAAAGGAAUAAAACGAGGCACGUGUGCCUUUUUGCAUGUACUUUAUGAAUAAGGAUCGGCUAACUCCGUGCCAGCAGCCGCGGUAAUACGGAGGCUCCGAGCGUUAUCCGGAUUUAUUGGGUUUAAAGGGAGCGUAGAUGGGUUGUUAAGUCAGUUGUGAAAGUUUGCGGCUCAACCGUAAAAUUGCAAUUGAUACUGGCAGUCUUGAGUACAGUUGAGGUAGGCGGAAUGCGUGGUGUAGCGGUGAAAUGCUUAGAUAUCACGAAGAACCCCGAUUGCGAAGGCAGCUUACUAAACUGUUACUGACAUUGAUGCUCGAAAGUGUGGGUAGCAAACAGGAUUAGAUACCCGUGUAGUC